Molecule: ribosomal RNA, 1454 nt
Filed under: uncultured Bordetella sp.
Lineage: Bacteria; Pseudomonadati; Pseudomonadota; Betaproteobacteria; Burkholderiales; Alcaligenaceae
Description: partial 16S-23S ribosomal RNA intergenic spacer
Rfam family: Bacterial small subunit ribosomal RNA
Source: RNAcentral
GGAACAGAUUAUGGCUCAGAAUUGAACGCUGGCAGGAUGCUACAUACAAGUCGAACGCGGCAGCACGGACUUCGGUCUGGUGGCGAGUGGCGAGCGGGUGAGUAAUGUAUCGGAACGUGCCUAGUAGCGGGGAUAACUACGCGAAAGCGUAGCUAAUACCGCAUACGCCCUUCGGAAAGCCCAGGGGACCUUCGGGCCUCGCACUAUUAAGAGCGGCCGAUAUCGGAUUAGCUAGUUGGGUGAGGUAACGGCUCACCAAGGCGACGAUCCGUAGCUGGUUUGAGAGGACGACCAGCACCAGGACUGAGACACGGCCCGACUCACGGGAGAGCAGCAGUGGGAAUUUGGACUGUGGAAACCCUGAUCAGCCAGCCCGCGUAUUGCGAUGAAGGCCUUCGGAGUUUGUAAAGCACUUUUGGCAGGAAAGAAACGGCACGGGAUAUUACCCCGUGCAACUGACGGCUGCAGAAUAAGCACCGGCUAACUACGUGCCAGCAGCUAACGGUAAUACGUAAGUGCAAGCGGUAAUCGGAAUUACUGGGCGUAAAGCGUGCGCAGGCGGUUCGGAAAGAAAGAUGUGAAAUCCAGAGCUUAACCCCGGAACUGCAUUUUUAACUACCGAGCUAGAGUGUCAGAGGAGGUGGAAUUCACGCGUGUAGCAGUGAAAUGCGUAGAUAUGCGGAGGAACACCGAUGGCGAAGGCAGCCUCCUGGGAUAACGCUGACGCUCAUACAGCGUGGGAGCAAACAGGAUUAGAUACCCUGGUAGUCCACGCCUAAACGAUGUCAACUAGCUGUUGGGGCCUUCGGGCCUUGGUAGCGCAGCUAACGCGCGUGAAGUUGACCGCCUGGGGAGUACGGUCGCAAGAUUAAAACUCAAAGGUGUGACGGGGACCCGCACCAAGCGGUGGAUGAUGUGGAUUAAUUCGAUGCAACGCGAAAAACCUUACCUACCCUUGACAUGUCUGGAAUCCCGAAGAUUUGGGAGUGCUCGCAAGAGAACCGGAACACGGUGCUGCAUGGCUGUCGUCAGCUCGUGUCGUGAGAUGUUGGGUUAAGUCCCGCAACGAGCGCAACCCUUGUCGUGGAUUGCUACGAAGAAAGGGCCUCUAAUGGAACUGCCAGUGACAAACCGGAGGAAGGUGGGGAUGACGUCAGUCCUCAUGGCCCUUAUGGGUAGGGCUUCACACGUCAUACAAUGGUCGGGACAGAGGGUCGCCAACCCGCGAGGGAACCAAUCAGAAACCAGUCGUAGUCCAGAUCGCAGUCUACGCUCGACUGCGUGAAGUCAGAAUCGCUAGUAAUCGCGGAUCAGCAUGUCGCGGUGAAUACGUUCCCGGGUCUUAUGCACACCGCCCGUCACACCAUAGGUAAGUUUACCAAGUAGUUAGCCUAACCAUCAAGGAGGCGGUGCCAAAUAGGAUUCAUGACUGGGGUGAAGUCGUAACAAGGUAA